This 66-nucleotide transfer RNA is filed under the name Ellipes minuta. RNAcentral's name for it is "tRNA-Ala". Lineage: Eukaryota; Metazoa; Arthropoda; Insecta; Orthoptera; Tridactylidae. The record is from RNAcentral.
AGGGUAGUAGUUAAUUAUAACAUUUGGGUUGCAUUCAAAAAGUAUUGAAUAUUUCAAUCUACCUUA